AGAGUGAACGCUGGCGGCAGGCCUAACACAUGCAAGUCGAGCGGCAGCACAGUCGUAGCAAUACGAUGGGUGGCGAGCGGCGGACGGGUGAGGAAUGCAUCGGAAUCUACCUUGUUGUGGGGGAUAACGUAGGGAAACUUACGCUAAUACCGCAUGAGACCGUAAGGUGAAAGCGGGGGACCUGUGAGGGCCUCGCGCGACAAGAUGAGCCGAUGCCGGAUUAGCUAGUUGGUGGGUAAAGCCCACCAAGGCGACGAUCCGUAGCUGGUCU
RNAcentral lists this ribosomal RNA (271 nucleotides) under uncultured soil bacterium. RNAcentral describes it as "partial 16S ribosomal RNA". It matches the Rfam family "Bacterial small subunit ribosomal RNA", at positions 26 to 293 of the family's 1533-position model. The record is from RNAcentral.